RNAcentral lists this ribosomal RNA (253 nucleotides) under uncultured bacterium. Its description in RNAcentral is "partial 16S ribosomal RNA". It matches the Rfam family "Bacterial small subunit ribosomal RNA", at positions 524 to 776 of the family's 1533-position model. The record is from RNAcentral.
UACAGAGGUGGCAAGCGUUGUUCGGAAUUACUGGGCGUAAAGGGCGCGUAGGCGGCCUACUAAGUCAGACGUGAAAUCCCCCGGCUUAACCGGGGAACUGCGUCUGAUACUGGAUGGCUUGAGUUUGGGAGAGGGAUGCGGAAUUCCAGGUGUAGCGGUGAAAUGCGUAGAUAUCUGGAGGAACACCGGUGGCGAAGGCGGCAUCCUGGACCAACACUGACGCUGAGGAGCGAAAGCCAGGGGAGCAAACGGG